This 559-nucleotide long non-coding RNA is filed under the name Zostera marina. Its description in RNAcentral is "long non-coding RNA (ZMAR_LNC005314)". The record is from RNAcentral. Lineage: Eukaryota; Viridiplantae; Streptophyta; Magnoliopsida; Alismatales; Zosteraceae.
UAAUAUUUUUUUAUACUUUUUACCGAGCCCACCGAGCUUAACGAGCCGAGCCGAGUUUUAUUUGACACCCUACGUAUAGAGGUACGUCCGAAGGUUACAAGUAACAUAAAUUAUAAUAAAAACAAAGACAAUUUACACACUCGCUUAAAAAAAACUCAUCUGUCUAGUCUCAGGUUUCCACACCUUUUUCCUUUCAUCUCGGUUUCAGAAUCUUUCAAAAAGGUUGGGAUAUGCUUCCGCCAGCCAUGUGUUUGUGUCCACUCGAGAACCUGACACUCCUAUAGUCCGUUGAAGGCAUCGUCCUUUCCCUCUUUCCCGAAAGAAGACAAGGGUCGAAUUCGUUAGCAAUCAACUAGUCGGACGUGGGACAAACGUAUGGUAGCUACCGUCAUCCGUCCACCCUAAAAGAGUUUCGUUAUUAAAGGAAUGAACCCCGACCAGACUCUUCGGCCUUUCCUCAUUUAUCUCACUAUACCCAAUUUGGGGUCCAGAUCCACUACGUACUAAAUAACUUCUGUUAAUAGAUUAUUUUGGAUACCCUCUCUAUCUUAUAAAACAA